ACGACGCCGUUUUGAAGGGCUAUUUAAGCCACUAUCUUUCCAAAAAAAAAAUCAUUUUAAGCCAUUUUAAAAAAAAAAACAAAAAAACCUUUUAAAAAACUCUCCCCUCCCUAGUCGUCCGGCCUCCAGUCUGGCCACCGGCCGAUCAUCGGCCACCGUGCCUGCCAUCGGCCUCCGGCGACGGCACCGCCGUCUGCGGUGGCCAGAAAAGGAGAAAAUCUCCUAUUCGUCUCUUCAAAGCCCCUAAACCCAGAUCCGGGCUCAAAAUUCCCAAAAUCAACAAAGAAGUCCUAAAAAAUCCUAGAAACCUUUCGGCUUCUAACCAUCUGUCCUCAGAGACAGACCUCGGCCUUCCACAGUGUUUCAGAAGCGAACCAUGGUACGAUGUGCGUGAAGAUUUGACUCGUGCAGAGGCCUUGGUUGCGGCGCAAGUGUUUCCUUAGAAAUCCUAGGGUUUCUGUAAAUGUCUUGGCCAUUGUAAUUUGGGCCACUAUUCUUGUAUUUUGGGUUUGGGUUUUGGGCCCAAUUUAUUGUAAAAGGACUGUUUAUUUGCUUCA
Long non-coding RNA from Gossypium raimondii (Peruvian cotton), 557 nucleotides. RefSeq lists it as uncharacterized. The record is from RefSeq and is a predicted model, not a curated record. The transcript has 2 exons. NCBI's taxonomy places the organism in Eukaryota, Viridiplantae, Streptophyta, Magnoliopsida, Malvales, Malvaceae.